UCUAACAGUGCGUGCUAAUAAUUAAUAAGAUGCAUUCAGAACUUCCCACGUAAGCAAAAUGUGUGGCUUGGGGAUGAAUAAGAGGCGGUGAAGGGGGAAGACAAUGAAAUUCACCUUAAAAUUUCAAGGAGAAAAUAAAAAUCUGAAGACUGUAUCACCAGCAUGGAAAAAAAAAUCCACCUUUCCAGAGCUCCUGUCUGUCUGCAUGACCUCUUUGGGAAAAGAAAAAGACCACAUCUCAGGAUAAAACAAAUGCCUAUUUCCACUCUAAUCCAGCUUUCCCCAUGUUCCAACAGCCCUACAUGGGACAGCUCCACAUGCAAACUCGCAUCCAGAUCCAAUAAUUGCCCUUUAAGAAGCUUAUCAUGCAUUGAAGAAUGUCAGCUUGACAAUCUGUAGGUGGCGAAUGGCAGCAUGUUGAUUUUCAAAUGAAGAAGCUGAGACAGAGAGUGCCAGUUGAGAUUGAAGCUGAAACCUCUAUGCUCAUCUUGGAAAGCCACUCACAUGUGCCCCAGGCCACCUUUCAAGAAACCCGAAGUACCAGCCACGUGGUACACAGCUUCCUGCAGUCUCCACCGCAGGUCCUCCUUCCAUCUCUAGGCCCAACUCGGAUGCCAUCUGUCUGUGGAAUGUUUCCAGCUGGAACGCAAUGUGUUACUUCUUAUGGCAGCAACGAUGUAACUCGAAACACCAUCAUCUAUGGAAAGCUUAGCACAAUUGGCCAAGAAAGUGCUUUUCUUUACAUUUACAUUCAAUACUGUCACCUGGAAACAAAAAUUUCCAAGUUGCUCCAGAAAAGUCCAGAAUGACAAGAAUGUCCGUCAGCUUGCCAACCACGGCUCUAAAGGGAUCUCCAUUUUCCUCUCACUCUUAAAUUCUUUGGUGACAAUAAAAAAAAAGCAGGAAGAUUUCUGUUUUCCA
RNAcentral lists this long non-coding RNA (921 nucleotides) under Vulpes vulpes (red fox). RNAcentral describes it as "lncRNA (ENSVVUG00000030338.1)". Lineage: Eukaryota; Metazoa; Chordata; Mammalia; Carnivora; Canidae. The record is from RNAcentral.